RNAcentral lists this ribosomal RNA (468 nucleotides) under uncultured bacterium. RNAcentral describes it as "partial 16S ribosomal RNA". It matches the Rfam family "Bacterial small subunit ribosomal RNA", at positions 28 to 507 of the family's 1533-position model. The record is from RNAcentral.
GACGAACGCUGGCGGCGUGCUUAACACAUGCAAGUCGAACGGAAAGGCCCUGCUUUUGUGGGGUGCUCGAGUGGCGAACGGGUGAGUAACACGUGAGUAACCUGCCCUUGACUUUGGGGUAACUUCAGGAAACUGGGGCUAAUACCGGAUAGGAGCUCCUGCUGCAUGGUGGGGGUUGGAAAGUUUCGGCGGUUGGGGAUGGACUCGCGGCUUAUCAGCUUGUUGGUGGGGUAGUGGCUUACCAAGGCUUUGACGGGUAGCCGGCCUGAGAGGGUGACCGGCCACAUUGGGACUGAGAUACGGCCCAGACUCCUACGGGAGGCAGCAGUGGGGAAUAUUGCACAAUGGGCGGAAGCCUGAUGCAGCAACGCCGCGUGCGGGAUGACGGCCUUCGGGUUGUAAACCGCUUUCGCCUGUGACGAGGCGUGAGUGACGGUAAUGGGUAAAGAAGCACCGGCUAACUACGUG